CGAACGGGUGAGUAACACGUGAGCAAUCUGCCCUUCACAUCGGAAUAACUUCGGGAAACCGAAGCUAAUACCGGAUACGACCACCGAAGGCAUCUUCUGGUGGUGGAAAGUUCCGGCGGUGAAGGAUGAGCUCGCGGCCUAUCAGCUUGUUGGUGGGGUAAUGGCCUACCAAGGCGACGACGGGUAGCCGGCCUGAGAGGGUGACCGGCCACACUGGGACUGAGACACGGCCCAG
This 235-nucleotide ribosomal RNA is filed under the name uncultured bacterium. RNAcentral describes it as "partial 16S ribosomal RNA". It matches the Rfam family "Bacterial small subunit ribosomal RNA", at positions 99 to 334 of the family's 1533-position model. The record is from RNAcentral.